Non-coding RNA from Gracilinanus agilis (Agile Gracile Mouse Opossum), 397 nucleotides. The record is from the annotation of a RefSeq genome assembly. NCBI's taxonomy places the organism in Eukaryota, Metazoa, Chordata, Mammalia, Didelphimorphia, Didelphidae.
GCUCUUUGGGGAGCUGAGCUCUUGGGGUCCUCUCACCAUGGCCUGGUCUCUUGUUUGCCUCCUCCUGCUCACCUUCUGCUCAGGCUCCCUCUCCCAGCCUGUGGUGACUCAGCCUCCCUCUGUGUCUGCAUCCCUGGGGAGCACAGUUAAACUCUCCUGCACCCUGAGCAGUGCUAGCAGUGGUUAUGAUGCUUCUUGGCACCAGCAGAGCCCAGGAAAGGCCCCUCGUUACCUCAUGUGGGUUGACAGUGAUGGAAAUGCAGGCAGGGCUGAUGGGCUCCCUGAGCGUUUCUCAGGCUCUGGCUCUGGGGCUAAUAGAUUCCUGUCCAUCAGCAACAUCCAGCCUGAGGAUGAAGCCGAUUAUUACUGUCAGUCAUAUAGCACAGUGAUGCAUUCA